GGGCGCAAGCCUGAUGCAGCCAUGCCGCGUGUGUGAAGAAGGCCUUCGGGUUGUAAAGUACUUUCAGCGGGGAGGAAGGGAGUAAAGUUAAUACCUUUGCUCAUUGACGUUACCCGCAGAAGAAGCACCGGCUAACUCCGUGCCAGCAGCCGCGGUAAUACGGAGGGUGCAAGCGUUAAUCGGAAUUACUGGGCGUAAAGCGCACGCAGGCGGUUUGUUAAGUCAGAUGUGAAAUCCCCGGGCUCAACCUGGGAACUGCAUCUGAUACUGGCAAGCUUGAGUCUCGUAGAGGGGGGUAGAAUUCCAGGUGUAGCGGUGAAAUGCGUAGAGAUCUGGAGGAAUACC
RNAcentral lists this ribosomal RNA (345 nucleotides) under uncultured bacterium. RNAcentral's name for it is "bacterial SSU rRNA". It matches the Rfam family "Bacterial small subunit ribosomal RNA", at positions 373 to 710 of the family's 1533-position model. The record is from RNAcentral.